AGAGUUUGAUCCUGGCUCAGGACGAACGCUGGCGGCGUGCCUAAUACAUGCAAGUAGAACGCUGAAGAGAGGAGCUUGCUCUUCUUGGAAGAGUUGCGAACGGGUGAGUAACGCGUAGGUAACCUGCCUUGUAGCGGGGGAUAACUAUUGGAAACGAUAGCUAAUACCGCAUAACAAUGGGUGACCCAUGUCAUUCAUUUGAAAGGGGCAACUGCUCCACUACAAGAUGGACCUGCGUUGUAUUAGCUAGUAGGUGAGGUAACGGCUCACCUAGGCGACGAUACAUAGCCGACCUGAGAGGGUGAUCGGCCACACUGGGACUGAGACACGGCCCAGACUCCUACGGGAGGCAGCAGUAGGGAAUCUUCGGCAAUGGGGGCAACCCUGACCGAGCAACGCCGCGUGAGUGAAGAAGGUUUUCGGAUCGUAAAGCUCUGUUGUAAGUCAAGAACGAGUGUGAGAGCGGAAAGUUCACACUGUGACGGUAGCUUACCAGAAAGGGACGGCUAACUACGUGCCAGCAGCCGCGGUAAUACGUAGGUCCCGAGCGUUGUCCGGAUUUAUUGGGCGUAAAGCGAGCGCAGGCGGUUUGAUAAGUCUGAAGUUAAAGGCUGUGGCUCAACCAUAGUUCGCUUUGGAAACUGUCAAACUUGAGUGCAGAAGGGGAGAGUGGAAUUCCAUGUGUAGCGGUGAAAUGCGUAGAUAUAUGGAGGAACACCGGUGGCGAAAGCGGCUCUCUGGUCUGUAACUGACGCUGAGGCUCGAAAGCGUGGGGAGCGAACAGGAUUAGAUACCCUGGUAGUCCACGCCGUAAACGAU
Molecule: ribosomal RNA, 819 nt
Filed under: uncultured bacterium
Lineage: Bacteria
Description: bacterial SSU rRNA
Rfam family: Bacterial small subunit ribosomal RNA
Source: RNAcentral